UUAACACAUGCAAGUCGAACGGUAACAGGCCCUUCGGGGUGCUGACGAGUGACGGACGGGUGAGUAAUGCGUAGGAAUCUACCUAAUGGAGUGGGAUAACCUAGGGAAACUUAGGGUAAUACCGCAUAAGCCUUACGAGGUAAAGCAGGGGACUUUCGGGCCUUGCCGCUGUUAGAUGAGCCUACGUCGGAUUAGCUUGUUGGUGGGGUAAAGGCCUACCAAGGCGAUGAUCCGUAGCUGGCCUGAGAGGGCGACCAGCCACACUGGGACUGAGACACGGCCCAGACUCCUACGGGAGGCAGCAGUGGGGAAUAUUGGACAAUGGGCGCAAGCCUGAUCCAGCAAUGCCGCGUGUGUGAAGAAGGCCUGCGGGUUGUAAAGCACUUUCGGUGGGGAGGAAAGACUCUGAGCUAAUAUCUCAGAGAGUUGACGUUACCCACAGAAGAAGCACCGGCUAACUCUGUGCCAGCAGCCGCGGUAAU
Molecule: ribosomal RNA, 482 nt
Filed under: uncultured bacterium
Lineage: Bacteria
Description: bacterial SSU rRNA
Rfam family: Bacterial small subunit ribosomal RNA
Source: RNAcentral